CACUGGUCACCUCGCAACAGACCGCUAUGAACCCCGUCAGGCCUGGAAAGGAGCAGCGGUAGUAGAAUGGCCUGUGUGCCGUGGAACGGCGAGUGCGG
RNAcentral lists this signal recognition particle RNA (98 nucleotides) under Gammaproteobacteria bacterium. Its description in RNAcentral is "signal recognition particle sRNA small type". It matches the Rfam family "Bacterial small signal recognition particle RNA". Rfam says of the family: The signal recognition particle (SRP) is a universally conserved ribonucleoprotein involved in the co-translational targeting of proteins to membranes. Archaeal SRP consists of a 7S RNA and homologues of the eukaryotic SRP19 and SRP54 proteins. In most bacteria, the SRP consists of a 4.5S RNA and the Ffh protein (a homologue of the eukaryotic SRP54 protein). The record is from RNAcentral. Lineage: Bacteria; Pseudomonadati; Pseudomonadota; Gammaproteobacteria.